GUAGGUGAACCUGCGGAAGGAUCAUUACCAAAAAGGAUACCCUCACCGGUAUACCCCACCCGUGUCUAUCUACUCUUGUUGCUUUGGCAGGCCGUGGUCUUCCACUGUGGGCUCUGCCUGCAUGUGCCUGCCAGAGGACCAAACUCUGAAUUUUAGUGAUGUCUGAGUACUAUAUAAUAGUUAAAACUUUCAACAACGGAUCUCUUGGUUCCG
This 213-nucleotide unclassified non-coding RNA is filed under the name rhizosphere metagenome. RNAcentral describes it as "partial ribosomal RNA internal transcribed spacer region". The record is from RNAcentral.